This 3393-nucleotide long non-coding RNA is filed under the name Gallus gallus (chicken). RNAcentral's name for it is "lncRNA (ENSGALG00010003486.1)". Lineage: Eukaryota; Metazoa; Chordata; Aves; Galliformes; Phasianidae. The record is from RNAcentral.
AGACUAGCGUUUAGCUAUGGUGCAAGGUCAAACAUUAGCCCUAAAAUGGCAUAAAGGUUACAGCUGUGAGGAGGAGUUUAUUGACGUGACCGUAACCAUUGCUCCCUUACGAAAAUAAAACCACCAAAAAAAUCCAAGCAGGAUUAGAAGUUAUUGGCCUGCCCAAAGAUCAGCGCCUUCUUCAGCUUAGAUUUUGGUUAUUUGAUCCAGAAUGGGAUCCCGGAGAUUCCACCUUUUCCAUUGUUACUCCUUUUCACAUGAACAGCUCUUAUCUGCACGUAGAAAGAGCAGAACAGACUCCUAAUAAAAAUACCUCCCGGCUUAACUGCAUAGCUGGUAGCUCCUCUCACACAGUGAAACAGCAGCACGCACACUGCCAUAAAAUUGAUAGGAGAGGUGUUUCCCCGUGGGACUAUUAAAUGCAAAUUUCUUUUAGAUCAACGAGGAGACGAGAUAAGUUUUUACACACAUCUGCUGGGUAAUCUCCUUUGGAGAGAGGGCUGCUCGUCUCACGCGGGGUCUGGAGCUCACGAGGGCAGCUGCAAAGCGGACGACCGCUGCCAACAACAGCAGUCGGGAGAAGAGCCAGCCACACGUCCAUGUUGGUCGCUUAAGAGCUACAUCCAGCCCUGCCUGGGCUGCAGGGCCACCCCCGCCGUGUGAAGGUGAGGGGCAGGGGCUGCCCCGAGCACGGGGACGCGCAGGGCGCCCAGCCCUGGGAGCCGCAUCAGCCGGGGUUAGGAGAGCCGGGAGCAGCCGGGCCGAGCCGCGAUAGCCGGCGCUGCCCCGCCAUCUAGUGCCGCCGGCCCGCAUCGCGCUUCCAGAGAGGAAUCGGGCUUAGCCGGCCCGAAUUGCGGGAUCUCCGGCUAUUUUUUCCCCCCUCCCCAUUCAUUUGCAUCAAUAUUUUAUGUGCCGUAAUGGCUGGAUAACCCCGGCGCAAAGAGACUCUAUUUCACAUUGUCGAUAGAAACGGGAAGGGGAUAAAUUACCAGCGGCCACACGCGCUAUUUGUGGCUCAUUUGGAAACUUCUUGAGCUGAUUAGAUGCCUCCUAAAAGUAGAUAUCUAGUGUCAUUCGGAAUCACCGGAUCGCCUGAUUUAGUGCUGAAGCUGCGGAGGGAGCGAAGCCAUUAGCCGAGCACUCAACUUGUUUGGCAAAUGCGGCUUAGUCGUGCCCGACGUGAUUUACAUAUGGAAGCUUGGGAGCAGAGCCAGGUGAAUAAUUUUCAGUGACAGUGAAUAAUGGCCCGGAGCAAUUUUUGUGGGUCCUCCCCCUCCUUUGGUAAUUGUCCGUGAGUAGGUCGCAAUUUCCUCAAACGUAUUCGUUUUUCUGAACGUAUUUGGCGAAUAAUUCCAGUGAACUUAGGGGAUGCCUGUAAGGUGUGAGCAAGCAGUUUUUCAGGGAGCUCUAGAAUCAAUGGGCUUUUAGCUGGUGGGCUGGGAGUAAUGCUGUGUUAAGUCCUUUGGUCAAGAAACACAAGGGUUACUCAUGUACAGAUCUAUGAUUUACUUCCAAAAUCCAUUCACCCUUCUCGUGUAGCGUAUGCUGUGUCUGCAAACUCGGUGCCAUGACAUCUUUAAGAUUAUAAUUAGAUAUGAAAAAAGAAAGAAAAAGAAAGAAAGAAAGAAAGAAAGAAAGAAAGAAAGAAAGAAAGAAAGAAAGAAAGAAAGAAAGAAAGAAAGAAAGAAAGAAAGAAAGAAAGAGAGAAAGAAAGAGAGAAAGAAAGAGAGAAAGAGAGAAAGAGAGAGAGAAAGAGAGAAAGAAAGAAAGAGAGAAAGAAAGAGAGAAAGAGAGAAAGAAAGAAAGAAAGAAAGAAAGAAAGAAAGAAAGAAAGAAAGAAAUAAAGAAAGAAAGAAAGAAAGAAAGAAAGAAAGAAAGAAAGAAAAGAAAGAGAGAAAGAAAGAAGAAAGCAAGCAAGCUGGGGAUACGAUCCUGUCCAGUUUUCUAUUAAAUACAAGUUAACUGUUGGUGAACGUCUUGCUUUUAGUUUUGAUUCCAGUUCAUCCUAGUAGCAUCCAAAAUGGAGAUGGUGGAGAAGUGACUUUGGCCACCCCACAGUCAGCUCUGGGUGUGAAGAACUGAAGUCUCCUGACUCAUGAGUGGAAGCUGGCAGUGAGGGAGAAAGAGCCAGGUUGGACUCUGAAUGUCAUUUCCUUUACAGAAAAAAAAAAAAAAAAUCCCAUUGUUGGCAAGCAAGUGGCAGAAACCAAUUUAGAAAUCAUCUCUGAUUUCUCUAUAUAAAAAUUCCUUCUGCAGUUGGAUCCACAUAUACUACAUCAUAGGCACAGGAACUCACUGUAGAUGAGCAUCAGCGUUAUUUAGGUAAGGGAUGAGUACAAAAAUCACAUGCUAAGUAUGUUAAAACGUAAAUGGUGAUGGGGCAAAGUAAAACAAAUUUAUCUGAGCUGGGGAUGAGCCGUAGUGAAGAAAAUGAUGGUAGAUGACGAGCUGUAUUCAGAACACCUCCACCACCUGUUUCCAUGGGAAAACAAGGCAGCAGCCGAACCAGCAACAGAAAUCUUGGCAGCUUUCAAGAAAAGCAAUACCACACCCCAUAGGCUUGGUGAGCUAUGAAUAACACCAAGGUUCAACUUUACAUGCUAGCACAGGAUAUACUGUCAUCUACAAUUCAAAUCUUUACUUAGGAGUUUAUUGGGUUCAUUAUCAAGAGAGAACAACAAAGAAGUGUUUGAAGACUGGAUCCAGUGAGACCUGGUUUUCUACAGAUUUAUGGCUUGAGGCUCAGCACCUAAGAGGACUUUGUACUGCCUAACAGCAGUUAUGCUCACAUUGUACGUUUUCCCCCAGCUGGGAACGGUAAUAGGGUCUUUCCUACCCAUAUUUCCACCUUCUUGUAACUCAGAGAAAGUUUUUAUCUUUCACAUCUUUGGCCCUCUGUCAAAGUUGCUUAAAUUGACCGGUGAAUUUAAAAACUGUUGAGAUUACCUGGACUGAAAAUCAACAAAAGUGAUGGAAUUAGCCUUGCUUCCUUAGCAAACUCAAAGCUAAUCAACACUACGUUAGAGGGACAGAAACUUCAGACUUCAAAAUGGAAUCGAACAGCAGCAGAAAGAAUGACCUUUUCAAAGCCAGAGGGCCUGGGCGCAUUACCGGAGAGUCUGGGAGAGAGCACAGCUGUAGCACUUGGGAUGACAAGGAGCAGCAUGGGUGUAACACAGCUGAUAUGAGCUUCCUCGAGGUCAACAGCACGUGCUUGACCCUCUCGGGAUGGAAACAGGGGUCCUUCGCACCGCCCGCCCCUGGACAUCAGGCUAUUUUCUCUCUUUUUUCACGUCAGUGAUUGAAGUGACUGCACAGUACUUUCCCACCCUCCCCUUGUGUGCUUUCCUUCCUGGCACUGUGGGAAAUACCACGGUGUCCACUCUUUUUGUG